This 252-nucleotide ribosomal RNA is filed under the name uncultured bacterium. Its description in RNAcentral is "partial 16S ribosomal RNA". It matches the Rfam family "Bacterial small subunit ribosomal RNA", at positions 524 to 776 of the family's 1533-position model. The record is from RNAcentral.
UACGUAGGUCCCGAGCGUUGUCCGGAUUUAUUGGGCGUAAAGCGAGCGCAGGUGGUUUAUUAAGUCUGGUGUAAAAGGCAGUGGCUCAACCAUUGUAUGAAUUGGAAACUGGUAGACUUGAGUGCAGGAGAGGAGAGUGGAAUUCCAUGUGUAGCGGUGAAAUGCGUAGAUAUAUGGAGGAACACCGGUGGCGAAAGCGGCUCUCUGGCCUGUAACUGACACUGAGGCUCGAAAGCGUGGGGAGCAAACAGG